This 440-nucleotide ribosomal RNA is filed under the name uncultured bacterium. Its description in RNAcentral is "partial 16S ribosomal RNA". It matches the Rfam family "Bacterial small subunit ribosomal RNA", at positions 338 to 795 of the family's 1533-position model. The record is from RNAcentral.
CCUACGGGCGGCAGCAGUGGGGAAUAUUGCACAAUGGGGGAAACCCUGAUGCAGCGACGCCGCGUGAGGGAAGAAGGAUCUCGGUAUGUAAAGUCCUAUUAGUAGGGAAGAAAAUGACGGUAUCUAACGAAGAAGCCCCGGCUAACUACGUGCCAGCAGCCGCGGUAAUACGGAGGGGGCAAGCGUUAUUCGGAUUCACUGGGCGUAAAGGGGGCGUAGACGGGAGCGCAAGUCAGAUGUGAAAUCCCGGGGCUUAACCAUAGAACUGCAUUUGAAACUGUUCGGCUAGAGUGCAGGAGGGGUAGGCGGAAUUCUUGGUGUAGCGGUAAAAUGCGUAGAGAUUAGGAGGAACACCCAUGGCGAAGGCGACUUACUGGACUGUAACUGACGUUGAUGCUCGAAAGCGUGGGGAGCAAACAGGAUUAGAUACCCGAGUAGUC